Molecule: ribosomal RNA, 724 nt
Filed under: Actinomycetes bacterium
Lineage: Bacteria; Bacillati; Actinomycetota; Actinomycetes
Description: bacterial SSU rRNA
Rfam family: Bacterial small subunit ribosomal RNA
Source: RNAcentral
UGGGACAAGCCCUGGAAACGGGGUCUAAUACCGGAUAUCACUUCCACUCGCAUGGGUGGGGGUUGAAAGCUCCGGCGGUGAAGGAUGAGCCCGCGGCCUAUCAGCUUGUUGGUGAGGUAAUGGCUCACCAAGGCGACGACGGGUAGCCGGCCUGAGAGGGCGACCGGCCACACUGGGACUGAGACACGGCCCAGACUCCUACGGGAGGCAGCAGUGGGGAAUAUUGCACAAUGGGCGAAAGCCUGAUGCAGCGACGCCGCGUGAGGGAUGACGGCCUUCGGGUUGUAAACCUCUUUCAGCAGGGAAGAAGCGAAAGUGACGGUACCUGCAGAAGAAGCGCCGGCUAACUACGUGCCAGCAGCCGCGGUAAUACGUAGGGCGCAAGCGUUGUCCGGAAUUAUUGGGCGUAAAGAGCUCGUAGGCGGCUUGUCACGUCGGGUGUGAAAGCCCGGGGCUUAACCCCGGGUCUGCAUUCGAUACGGGCUAGCUAGAGUGUGGUAGGGGAGAUCGGAAUUCCUGGUGUAGCGGUGAAAUGCGCAGAUAUCAGGAGGAACACCGGUGGCGAAGGCGGAUCUCUGGGCCAUUACUGACGCUGAGGAGCGAAAGCGUGGGGAGCGAACAGGAUUAGAUACCCUGGUAGUCCACGCCGUAAACGGUGGGAACUAGGUGUUGGCGACAUUCCACGUCGUCGGUGCCGCAGCUAACGCAUUAAGUUCCCCGCCUG